Molecule: non-coding RNA, 83 nt
Organism: Trametes pubescens
Lineage: Eukaryota; Fungi; Basidiomycota; Agaricomycetes; Polyporales; Polyporaceae
Source: the annotation of a GenBank genome assembly
GGCCUAAUGGUCUAGAAGUAUGAUACUCGCUUUGGGUGUUUCUCACUUGCGAGUGGUCCAGGGUUCAAUUCCCUGUUAGGCCC